Molecule: ribosomal RNA, 393 nt
Filed under: uncultured bacterium
Lineage: Bacteria
Description: partial 16S ribosomal RNA
Rfam family: Bacterial small subunit ribosomal RNA
Source: RNAcentral
AUACGUAGGGGGCAAGCGUUAUCCGGAUUUAUUGGGUUUUAAGGGAGCGCAGGCGGAGAUGCAAGCGUGACGUCAAAUUUCGGGGCUCAACCCCGUCUCGCGUCGCGAACUGCGUCCCUUGGUUGCGGGAAGGGGAGGCGGAACUCGUGGUGUAGCGGUGAAAUGCAUAGAUAUCACGAAGAACUCCGAUCGCGAAGGCAGCCUUCCGGCCCGUCAACGACGCUCAUGCUCGAAGGUGCGGGUAUCAAACAGGAUUAGAUACCCUGGUAGUCCGCACAGUAAACGAUGGACACCCGCGGUUUGGCCUGUAUGGCUGAGCCGCCAAGCGAAAGCGUUAAGUGUCCCACCUGGGGAGUACGCCGGCAACGGUGAAACUCAAAUGAAUUGACGGGG